GAUACAGCUGGUUUUACAACAUCAAUGAGAUUUUAUUAUUUGUUUCAUUCACUUGUUUUUCAUUUGUUUGCUUGUUUGUUCUGUGUGAUGCACCUUUUACAGAUGACACACUUGCACCAUAUACUGUUCUGUCUUUUUAUGUCUGUAGUUUCUAAAGAUGCUGAGCUGAAUUAUGCUGAAGUGAAAACUAAACCUCACAAUUCAAAUCAAGCUCAUGAAGUAAAUGGAGCUGGAGUGACAGAAGUUCAAGACCAGACUGAAUCAGUGGUGUACUCAGCUAUUAGGACGUAACUCUGUAUUUCAGCAGAAAUUAUAGUUAAUUAUGUUUUUACAUUCUUUGCCGUUUACUCCCUUUAGUCAGUAUUCAACCUGCCUGCUGUUUAACACUGUGUUACCUGUGUGUGAGCCUUCAUACAAUCUGUGAUGAGGCAGAUGCGUUGCCCAUCACCAGAGAUUGUGUGUGUGUGCAAUACUUACCUGAACACCUACCUGUGAUACUCACCUGUUGACAGUUACCUUGCAGAGGCAGCAAAAGGGAGGCUAAGCAGAUAGAGCUCACUCAUGAAUGUGCCGAAGGACCCACGGCUAGCUCAUGAGAGGGGUGAUGUCUGUAGCCUAUGUCACAGAAAGUGGAGUAAGACAGCGUAGCAAAUGUGUAUAUUGCAGCUUGACACUUUUAUCGGUAAUGGGAUCUUGAGACCUUGUAAUAUCGGUUGUGCUUUUAUUUAUCCUUGUUUUUAAUGCACUCUUGUGGGACAGCAACACCCCUGCUGCGGAGAAUGGCAGAGCUCAGGUAAUGCAGGGGCGGGGCUAACCCUAUAAGAAGUGAGGGAAAGGUUCUGGGAGGAGGCUAGCUCAGAUACUCACCUCAGAUUGUGAGGAGAUUGAGGCGUAGAGCAAAGCUAGACAAUUUAGUCUCAUAGCCUUGCGGCUUAAGACUACUUAUGUGCUGCUAUUGAGUCAGGUCAACAUUUUAACCAUCGUUUAUUUUGUGUUUGUACAGUUUUCUUUUGUGUUUUCACUUUUGUAAAUAAAUCACACCAGUGUUUGCAAAGAAUCAUUCCGAGUCAGUCCAUCUUCAGCAUGCAUCUCCAUUCCUCAAACCCAUUCAGCUACAACCUACCCGGUGACUUCGUGUCUCCUCACGGAGUUCGGCGAAGCAUCGUCACACAAUCCAUAUCUAGUUUCAGGAUUUCAGAUCAGCUUUUGGACAAAUCAGCAUGCACUUCAGUUCAAUCAGGGACUGACAGAGGUCAUUUAUUCAUCAAUAACGUGAAGAAUAUUGCUGUCAUUGCUCCACUAAUAACUAACACAGUAACAGUGUUGCACUUUACUGAGAGAAAUACUGCAUAUUUAUGUAGUGCCAUUUCUUUUUUCUUCUUUGAGAAGUAAUCCACUCGACUCCACAUGUUUCACCUGAUUGGCUGUUCAUUAUAAAUAUUAUACAAGCAUUAAUCUUCAUCCAACGGUCUAAAACAACAUUUCACUGCCAUGAUAAAAGGAGUUAAGUGUGAUUCCAUUUGUUAGGUUUUGUGGAGCUGUAAAGUCAGGAUUCCUGUUUAAACUGAAGCUGCUUUUUAUGUAUUUUAAUCAAUCACACACAGAACUGUUGAUGCAGCUGUUUCAAGCGAAAGUUACCCAACAUUGAUUGAUACAUAUGCAAAACUGACUGUAGUGAAAAAACAACCAAUGAGUUUUGUUUUUCUGUAAUGGAUAAUAAAUCUUUGGUUUUUA
This is a long non-coding RNA of Pygocentrus nattereri (red-bellied piranha), 1734 nucleotides long. RefSeq lists it as uncharacterized. NCBI's taxonomy places the organism in Eukaryota, Metazoa, Chordata, Actinopteri, Characiformes, Serrasalmidae. The transcript has 2 exons. The record is from RefSeq and is a predicted model, not a curated record.